Molecule: long non-coding RNA, 1865 nt
Filed under: Salvia miltiorrhiza (redroot sage)
Lineage: Eukaryota; Viridiplantae; Streptophyta; Magnoliopsida; Lamiales; Lamiaceae
Description: long non-coding RNA (SMIL_LNC004714)
Source: RNAcentral
AAAUUUUUAUGGAGGGAGUAGUUCUGCCACAAUUGGGAAAUAAAGGGUCGAAUUUUCAUUUCACAAAAAAUUUGGCUAAGACGUGAAGAAACAAAUCAAGAGAGCGAGGGUGAAGAGUGGUGGUUUAAGGCUUCUCCAAAAUCGUGGAGGCCUUAAACACCUCAAUCGAUUCAAACACUUAUUCACUUUCUUCAAAAAUAUUUCCGCCCUUCAAAUUCGCCGAGAUAUACUACUAUUAUUUUGCAAAUACAAUAAUUAGUAUAUAUAGAAUUAAAAAGGCAAAAAGAAGAUGAGUGGUGUGAUUGGUCCGACGGCGGCAACGAGACGCAGCAGUAUGGCCCAGAAGCGCAACCCCUCCUCCACCGUGAAGCGGUCUUCGGGGCCUUCAUCGGAGAACGGCUCCGCCGCUAAUGGCACCAACGUCAAGCCCUCUUCCCCUCCUCACUUGUAAGUUUAUUAUUUUUAAGAAAAGAGAUGAAUACGAAUUGCCCGUUUAUAGCUUUGCACAUGUUGCUCUUCGCAUUUUUUCUCUGACGUCGUUUGAUGGAAUGAGAUUUGAGCUGGUUAAUGUUGAAGUAAUCGAUGGUGUAAAUCCUUGAAUUGGAUUUUCUGUUGAUUUCCCGUAGAUGGCAUAGCUGGUGAACUAGUUCAGGUUUAGGUGCCGUUGACAUAUUAAUGGGAAGUGAUUUGGUUCAUAUAACUAAGAGGGUGAUUGGCUAAGCUUAUUUUAAAGAGCUUAUAAGAGGUUUGAAGAGCUUAAAAGUUUUUUAAGAGCUUAUAAGUUGUUAAAGUGCUUGGAUAAUUGAGCUUAUAAGCUAUAGAGAGACUUUUUAGUUAUAGAGAAAAAUCGUAAAGAGAUGAAAUUAGAAUGAUAUAUGAUGAAAAUAAAAAAUCAUAAUUAAGUUAUUUUUGUAAAAUGAGUAUAACUUAUAAGAUAAUGAGAAAAUAAGUUGGGGUAAAGAAAUUUAUUUUUUGGGAGCUUAUAAGCUCUUAGAGCUUGUUUUUACAUAAGCUCUUUAGGAGCUUAUUUUGGCAAACACUUUUCGAAGGAGUUUAUAAGCUCCUAAACAGCUUAUAAGCUUAAAGAGCUUAUAAGCUCAGCGAAACACCCUCUAAAUCAUAGAUCGUAAUGGCAGUGGCAAUAGGAAUUAUAGGAUUGAUUCUGAAUUAAUGAGGAUUUAUUGUAUGAGCAACUUUUUAGGUUUCGAGUGUUGAUGUACACAAAUUUUCCCAUCACAAUCUGUUGGAAAUUUUGGGUGUUUAGUGGGGGUUGGGGAGGGGGUGGGGUUACUGUGUUUCAAAAUGUCUAGUUUUUCUCUAAAUAGUAUAUUAUCUUUUCAUGCUUUAAUUUUCACUGCCAAUUGCUUAAAAUNGGGCAAAGUCUUGUCAAAUUAAAUAUAUAGUCCAAGUUCCCACUUCAGAUUUUUAAUUUUAAAAUACUUUCUUGCCUUUAUAAAUUUUUAUGGAGGGAGUAAUUUUGCCACAAAUGUAUAAAAAAUGGAAACCACAAAGAAAUUUUUAUGGAGGGAGUAGUUCUGCCACAAUUGGGAAAUAAAGGGUCGAAUUUUCAUUUCACAAAAAAUUUGGCUAAGACGUGAAGAAACAAAUCAAGAGAGCGAGGGUGAAGAGUGGUGGUUUAAGGCUUCUCCAAAAUCGUGGAGGCCUUAAACACCUCAAUCGAUUCAAACACUUAUUCACUUUCUUCAAAAAUAUUUCCGCCCUUCAAAUUCGCCGAGAUAUACUACUAUUAUUUUGCAAAUUCAAAUUAUUAGUAUAUAUAGAAUUGAAAAGGCAAAAAGAAGAUGAGUGGUGUGAUUGGUCCGACGGCGGCAACGAGACGCAGCAGUAUGGCCCAGAAGCGCAAC